Molecule: long non-coding RNA, 1005 nt
Organism: Ananas comosus (pineapple)
Lineage: Eukaryota; Viridiplantae; Streptophyta; Magnoliopsida; Poales; Bromeliaceae
Exons: 2
Source: RefSeq, a predicted model, not a curated record
UUUUAUUUUUUAAAAAUGCCGGAUACUUCAUUCCCGUAUCGGGCGCGUAUCGGUAUCCGAUACGGGUACGGCAUGAAAUUUGAAGUAUCUGUGCUUCAUAGCUAGUAAAUCAACAAGGGUUUCAUUUAUGUGGCAUCUUUUUGUCAAAGAUCAGAAGAACUUUGGCUCCUUUUUCAGGGCGUCAAAAAGUUUUGUAUAUAUUAUGGUGAAACAAAAAAUGACUGUAAUAUCCAAGAGCUUGCUUAACUCUGCAAACUUUUGCCUCUUUGAUUGUUUCUGUAGAAUUGCUCUUCUACUGUUGCUACUUAAAUACACUGGUUUUUCUUAAGUAAUUGGCUGUGAUACCUUGUACUUAACGAAUGUUUAUAUUUCUCACAUGUUUAUUGUGAUUAUCCCUCUAACUUUUGUUUUGAUUAUUUAGGUAUUGUCAGAGAUAUUCCUUGCACCAAUGACAGUGUCUUGGAAGAAAUGAAGAAGAAUUACAUGCUCGAGCAAGAAAGCAAGGCAGGGAAUAAGAGCUAAGAUGAAUAUUCUUGCAUUUUAUUCACCCUCAUACUGCUAAUAUUUUGAUCGGAAUUCUUAUGCGCCUGGCCUUGGAACGAAGUGAUCACUUAUUAACUUGUUCAAUUGAAUCGAUACUUCUAACUUCAAUUUUGUCUUUUGCUCCAUGGAAGAGACACUUACUGUUCCUUUUGUUUGGAUCUUAGGGAAAAAGUUUCGCUGGCUUAAAGCUGGUAGAGUAAAUCUAUUUUACGCCACAAUUUAUGACGUCUUCUAGAAGUAAUUUGAUGGUUGUACCAUAUUCUUAAAUGCUUGUAUGUUAGGAAUGACGGUAAGAGAGAGAGAGAGCUAGUCACUCCUCUAGAACAUUCCAAUUUGCAAUAAAUAUUCAGAGGCUAUGUAGAGAUACAAUUGAUGUUUAAUGUGUCGUAUAUGAAUCUCGACUCGGCAAAUUCUGCUGAUUUCAAUGACAAUAGCAACAAAAGUUGAAGCGAAAUUGAUUAA